UACGUAGGGUGCAAGCGUUGUCCGGAAUUAUUGGGCGUAAAGAGCUCGUAGGCGGUCUGUCGCGUCUGCUGUGAAAACUCAGGGCUUAACCCUGAGCUUGCAGUGGGUACGGGCAGACUAGAGUGCGGUAGGGGAGACUGGAAUUCCUGGUGUAGCGGUGAAAUGCGCAGAUAUCAGGAGGAACACCGGUGGCGAAGGCGGGUCUCUGGGCCGUAACUGACGCUGAGGAGCGAAAGCGUGGGGAGCGAGCAGG
RNAcentral lists this ribosomal RNA (253 nucleotides) under uncultured bacterium. RNAcentral's name for it is "partial 16S ribosomal RNA". It matches the Rfam family "Bacterial small subunit ribosomal RNA", at positions 524 to 776 of the family's 1533-position model. The record is from RNAcentral.